This 246-nucleotide unclassified non-coding RNA is filed under the name uncultured fungus. RNAcentral describes it as "partial contains 5.8S ribosomal RNA, internal transcribed spacer 2, and large subunit ribosomal RNA". The record is from RNAcentral. Lineage: Eukaryota; Fungi.
AACGCACAUUGCGCCCUUCGGUAUUCCGUUGGGCAUGCCUGUUCGAGCGUCAUUGUAACCUUCAAGCUCAGCUUGGUGUUGGGUGCUUGUCCUCCCCCGCGGCGGACUCACCUCAAAUGCAUUGGCGGCCGGUAUGUUGGCUUCGAGCGCAGUAGAAACGCGCCUGGCGUCUUGACAUGCUGGUCCCCCACAAGCCCAUUUCUUUAGCUUGACCUCGGAUCAGGUAGGGAUACCCGCUGAACUUAA